Toxotes jaculatrix (banded archerfish) is the source of this 263-nucleotide long non-coding RNA. RefSeq lists it as uncharacterized. The transcript has 3 exons. The record is from RefSeq and is a predicted model, not a curated record. Lineage: Eukaryota; Metazoa; Chordata; Actinopteri; Toxotidae.
UUCUGGUCUGCUUCACAGAGCCGCCAUUGACCGGAGCUGACACUCAAACCGGCUGAUCGACAACCUGACUGCCUGGAUGGAAAAUCACAAGAAUAUCAGAAACAGGAUGGAAGUGAGAUGUUGGAAGACAGUGAGACUAUGAAGACCCACCAUGUUCCACCAGGCAGCAUCCAGGAAACCAAGGAUUUUGGAUUCACAAAGCGUCAUGGAUGACCCGGGUACUCCCCACCAGUCACAGGGACUCCCCAUGAGUCAGAACAGAA